UAGCUAGUAGUGUAAAAAGCACAUCACUCUUUGAAAGUGAAGGUAAGUCGACUCUUUUAGCUAA
Molecule: transfer RNA, 64 nt
Filed under: Hydroides elegans (calcareous tube worm)
Lineage: Eukaryota; Metazoa; Annelida; Polychaeta; Sabellida; Serpulidae
Description: tRNA-Gln
Source: RNAcentral